RNAcentral lists this small RNA (29 nucleotides) under Bombyx mori (domestic silkworm). RNAcentral describes it as "ovarian small RNA-12229". The record is from RNAcentral. Lineage: Eukaryota; Metazoa; Arthropoda; Insecta; Lepidoptera; Bombycidae.
AGGGUGGUCCAAGCCUAUCUCGCGGGAGC